Molecule: ribosomal RNA, 187 nt
Filed under: uncultured bacterium
Lineage: Bacteria
Description: partial 16S ribosomal RNA
Rfam family: Bacterial small subunit ribosomal RNA
Source: RNAcentral
GACUACAUGAAGCUGGAAUCGCUAGUAAUCGCGAAUCAGAAUGUCGCGGUGAAUACGUUCCCGGGUCUUGUACACACCGCCCGUCACACCAUGGGAGUCAGUAACGCCCGAAGCCGGUGACCCAACCAAACGGAGGGAGCCGUCGAAGGUGGGACCGAUAACUGGGGUGAAGUCGUAACAAGGUAUC